CCAUUGAUAUUAAUUAACCUUUACAUAAAAUCUUUUUUUGUUUCAAGUGUAUUUUUUCUUAAUGUGAAUGCACUAUUGCAUAAGUGAAUGCACAGAAAUUACGAUACUCCUCCUCUUUUGACAGUGAGGAGUGAGAGAGUCCACGUUCUGAAAUCAGAGGAAAGGCUACCCAAUCUUCAGAGAGUAGGAGAAUGUCCUCAAUAAUUCUUCAGAAAAAUUAUACACUUUGUAAGUGCAAAGUUUAGCAUUUCCUUACAACAGGUAGGGAUGUGAAAAUCCAUCUUGUCUUCCACACAUAAACCAAUAAGAUCUCACAGCCACAAUUAAGUGACUGUUUCUGUUGAUAAAGCCUCUGUCCCUGACAGCUUGAUGGCCUCCUCUGGACUCUGGUGUCAGUGCCUAUAUAGGACAGGCACCAGGGAGCUUGAGCUGGUCCUAGCACUCACAGGUGGGUUUGUAUCAGUGCAGAGUAAAAGGUGAGGUUCCUCACCCCAUUGCCUGCACUAAUGGUGACACAACCCUGAAUGGCCUUCUUUGUCACAGGGUGCUCAGUUGGGGUCCCACUCAUCCUAUUGGGACCAUAGCACCUCUUCCACCAAAUUGCUUUCAAGGCCAGCACCUCAUGUCCUGCUGAAUUUGAGUUACUCCCUCCCAGACCCAGAACUAUCUUUGACCACCUGCAUUUGUCUUUGCUGAGUUUCCUGAGGGUUUUGUCCACCUUCCUGUAGGACCUCAGUCCCUAGUGCUGAUUAACUCAACAACAUGAAGCUGGUCCUGGUACUGGGGAGCCACAGUGACCAUUUCUCCAUGGAAGCAUUUUUGGUAGUGUGGAUGUUUACUUGUUUUGGGAUAGACACAGCCCCGAGCAAGUACCACACAAUGACUGUGGAAUAGUCAUCAGGUGUCAUCAGCACCCAUUAGCUCCUAAGCAAUUGUCAGUCUUUAACUAUGGCUUCAUGCUUCUGUCUGACUUAAGGCUGUGUAAAGAUUUAUAAAUCCAGGAGUAGUUUGUUUUCACAUAAUUUUUCUUUAUUGAUGUUAAAGCACUUUGUAAGUACUAAAAAGUCAAUCUUACUCUUCUGGAGCAUUUUGUUAGUUGGGUAAUUAUUCCAGAAAGUGCUUGAUAUUUUAAAAUACUACUUCUUGUCCUGAAAUUGUCAUCCCUAGAAGGAGAAAUGUUGUUGCACUGCCUUGUAAGGAGAGUCUGAAUUCAUUUCACUCAUGAAGAUAAUGGUAUAGUGUCAGAGUGUAUCUAUUUCUAAUUGACUUUAAAAUCAGAAUUGAUUCCUUUGAUUUAGGAUUUAGAAAAAUACCAGUAAGAAAAGAUAGAUUACUUCCUGUUAUCUGCAGAGGGAAUUAAUGAACCCUUCAGGUUGGCAAGAAACUAUUAUUAUUUCCAAGUAAUCUAAUUAAAGGGUAUAACAAAGACAUGCAGCUAUUUAAUUAUUUUAUUACCCAAUUGCUCUACAGUGCAUAAUCAGAGAAGUGUGAGGGAGUGAUUAGGUGUCUUGAGAACGGAAAUGACACAACCAAGAUAUGUAGAUCUUUUAAAGGAUGGAGAAGCUACUGGGAAAAUUGUGCCUCUCUUCCCCACAUGGAAGACUGAAGAUUAUUUUUCCCUGGGAGUGAAGAACAUGACAAUGUAAAUGUGCUGGGGGGUUUUCAGAAGCAGAUAUGAGAUGCUGGUGCUGGGAAAGGUAAAACACACCAGGCUGUGCUUAACUGGUGGCUCUGUUCAGCUCUUGUCUCCACAGGGGCCUUGCAAGCAGGGUCAGCUUGGCCCAUGGGAGGCACCACAGCCGAUCUGUAGGGUGUCCACAGGCACCGAUUGGAUCUUUGCCCUCUGGAUGAUGCAUUGAGGAUGCAUGAUGGGAGCAGAUGCUCACUGUCAGUGAUAUAUAUUGUUCCAAUCAAGUCACUAUCUGGCUUUGUAUGGAGCACCUGUGUCAAUAUCACCUGCAUUACAGAGGCUCAGACUGAUGUUUUCCUCUUGGUCUUGACAUCUAAAGCACUUCCUAGCCAUACCAAUAAUUCCAUGCUUGUACUGAAGCUGAAAAACUAACAGAGCUCUGAGCCACAAAGGAGACAAGGGGAGACUGUGCUGAUGAGCAAGAGCCAGGAUAAAUAACUUCUGCUGUGCUGUUGUCUCUACAAUAAACUUUAAUACUUUGGAAUUACUCACUUCUA
Molecule: long non-coding RNA, 2187 nt
Organism: Parus major (Great Tit)
Lineage: Eukaryota; Metazoa; Chordata; Aves; Passeriformes; Paridae
Exons: 3
Source: RefSeq, a predicted model, not a curated record